UACGUUUUCUUAUUUAAUUUAAUCCCAUGGAAAAUCGAUAAUAGAAUUUCAUAAGUUAGAAACUAUUGCAUGAAUGUUCGUUUUGCUUAAUAAGAUCCCUAAAGUUAGUCUCCACACAAUCGCACACCUCACGCCUUCGAAAUGGUUGCAUCUGGCAUACAAGCUAAUCAAGUGAGUUCCCAUUACCAGUUACACACGCUAAACAUGAGACCCAAGCCAACCGCGCGUCAUUUCGCUAUGCAAAUUAGCUUGAAUAGAGGGACAACGACCCGCAAAUGCGCCAUUCAAAAUACAUUGACCUUCCUUAUUCGACUUUGGACUCUACUUCCAAGAUCGGAGAGAAUUUGACUGGAUGUUUGAAAGCCGUCAGAAAGAGAUGUCGCGAUGCCCGCUAAAUCUUUUAUGUCCAAUUGCGAGAAUUAGCGUUCGUGAUAUUAUCUUCGGGUAAUAUCACGGCAACCGGGGAUUAUUUUACAGAUUCGCAGUUAAUCUGAGGCAAUUUCCAACUCUAAUCGAUCACUUCGAUUCGAUCAGUGGAAGAGGCAAAAGUGGUCCGUAUUUGUUUCGCGUCGUGGUGUAAUUUAAAAUUUGAUCGUCAAUCAGUAAUUUGUUCGAUCUAAGUUGCGGCAGUGCGUGUUACUAGUUUAGAAAAGGUGCGAGGCAGCGAAGCCAUUUGCCGUUACACCACCAUCCCAUUAGAGACCGCUUUUGACCCCACUCGUCGGCGUCGAGGUAAUCCCGGGGCACACGUGGCCGGAAGAGGCCACGUUCCUUUUACGCGCCCUAGACAGGCAGGCUCAUCCAACCCAUCAGCGUCCAACCGACAGCAGCGAGAACUAUUGUUCGACGAACGGACGCAUGUGCCGCGUUCAAGCGUAAGACCACGCGCCAGGUGAGAGAGUCAUCAACGAUCGACACGUAAAGCCGUCGACAUCGGGCCGGAGUAGUGCGUAAGCAGCUCUGUGUGCUCAGCCGCCGACUCAUCACCAUCCAACCAUCCACGUAAACCCUAGGUAGGCCUUUUUCUUCUUGUUUUUCUCCGAGUAUUUCGCAGCACUGAUGUCCGGCAAGGUCGCCGAUAGACAGCCUGGAGGAUUGGAUACACGGGUAUCGAGUGAACGAAAUGACGGGCGGCCAUCUUGCAAAAUUGCCGAUCGGAGCCGAUACUCGUUCCGCCACCAUCUCAACUGUAGCAGACAAUUCCACGGCCGCUGGCAUCCGUCUUCCGUCAAACCAACAGCAUGCACGAGCAACGAAUCCCAAUAUUCGUAGUGUCACCUACUCCGAUACUCCGUUGUCUUCUCCGGUCUGCAAUCCGGCAGCCAAAUCCAGUCUGCCAUCCGACAUCCACUCGGUGCUGCAAUCCAGCAGCCAAUCUUCGGUUGCAAUCCUGUGAGCAACGCUAGAUGGUGAUCCCACCGUCCACAAAUCAGUACCCCAAGCCAAAAACGAUUCCUGAAGCUACAACCACCAAGAUCCGGAUCUAUCCCGUCGAACCAGCAUGAGAGUAUGUACCCCUGUGUGACGUCACUAAUAAAUAGUUAAAUUGUAA
Molecule: long non-coding RNA, 1552 nt
Organism: Armigeres subalbatus
Lineage: Eukaryota; Metazoa; Arthropoda; Insecta; Diptera; Culicidae
Exons: 4
Source: RefSeq, a predicted model, not a curated record